GAACAACUCCGGGAAACUGGAGCUAAUACCGUAUACGUCCUUCGGGAGAAAGAUUUAUCGGUGAUGGAUGAGCCCGCGUUGGAUUAGCUAGUUGGUGGGGUAAAGGCCUACCAAGGCGACGAUCCAUAGCUGGUCUGAGAGGAUGAUCAGCCACACUGGGACUGAGACACGGCCCAGACUCCUACGGGAGGCAGCAGUAGGGAAUAUUGGACAAUGGGCGAAAGCCUGAUCCAGCCAUGCCGCGUGAGUGAUGAAGGCCCUAGGGUUGUAAAGCUCUUUCAACGGUGAAGAUAAUGACGGUAACCGUAGAAGAAGCCCCGGCUAACUUCGUGCCAGCAGCCGCGGUAAUACGAAGGGGGCUAGCGUUGUUCGGAUUUACUGGGCGUAAAGCGCACGUAGGCGGACUAUUAAGUCAGGGGUGAAAUCCCGGGGCUCAACCCCGGAACUGCCUUUGAUACUGGUAGUCUCGAGUCCGGAAGAGGUGAGUGGAAUUCCGAGUGUAGAGGUGAAAUUCGUAGAUAUUCGGAGGAACACCAGUGGCGAAGGCGGCUCACUGGUCCGGUACUGACGCUGAGGUGCGAAAG
Molecule: ribosomal RNA, 584 nt
Filed under: uncultured Mesorhizobium sp.
Lineage: Bacteria; Pseudomonadati; Pseudomonadota; Alphaproteobacteria; Hyphomicrobiales; Phyllobacteriaceae
Description: bacterial SSU rRNA
Rfam family: Bacterial small subunit ribosomal RNA
Source: RNAcentral